CAACGCCUUCUGUAUGACUAGCUCUGGGAACUUGGUGCCGUCGCCGCGGGACUUGACGUCCAGUGCAAAGAGACCGUGGUCAUCGCGCGUGAGCAGAUAGGUGCGGAGCCCGUUCUCGCCCGCGUCUGGGUCAUGUGCGCUGAUUUCCUUGUCGUUGGCGAACACCUCGAGGGACAGCUGACACUUGGCAUUGUGGCGACACAAGGACUCACGGUCGAUUCGCUGUUUGGUGUAAAGCAGCCCACUAUCAGCGUCCACGUCUAGCAGGUGCGGUGCCGAGUUCUCCAGCACCCGGUAACUGCCCGACUUGCCUCGCCCGCCGCUGCCACCGCGUUCAGCGGGCGGAAGCCCUGGCUGCAGUCUAGCAUCUUUGCCGAUGUUGCCGAUCACCGUGCCGGCCCCCUGUUCCUCAGGCACUGAGUAGUUGAGGUUUUUGAGAGUCAGGGCAGGGGCCCAUAGAAGGAAGCAGCAACAGAUGGAAAGGUACAUCCCAGACCGGUGGGGUGGGGGCAGAAGCAGCCGGACUGAAGGGGCAAGCCUGUGGGUGCGCGCCAGCCUGGGGCCCGGGAGGAGGGCGCGCGCGCGACGCGAGCCACAAGUCUGUAGGUCCUUCCUUCCUUCCACACCCGGGCUGCGGCAGCAGGCAGUCUCUCCUUAUUCCGCUCAAGUUCCCCGAACCUGUUGAUCUACAGCAUCCGCACUGGGGGAGAAGCAGCGGCGCAGCGGAGCUGCAGCGGCUUGGAGCAAGGCGGCGGCUCCCUGCGGCUGAGGGCGAGCCCGGGGCUUUGUCUCUCCCGCCUGGACUUCAGGAGGCUCAAACUUGAGCGAUGAGGCCGGCGAUAAGAAGGAAAUCGAGUCUGGGAGGGAUGAUAAUGAGCUAAAGAAAAUCGCACCUCCUUCCAAUGGCCCAGUCUCCCAGUCCUCUUCAUCUAGAAAAGAAAACCUUGGCGAAGAAUAAAAGUGGUGAAUAUUUGAAGAGAUUAAGGAUCACCCCAAAGCCUGAGAAAGACGUGCGGAUUUCAAACCAAAUAAAUCCAUCCCCGCAAGCAAAGCAAUGGAGGAAAUGAAAGGUGAAAAUUCAAUUCAACAGUUGGAGUAGCGUCUCCCCAGCCGCCCUCCGCCGCUGCCGCAUCCGCCGGGCUCGCAGUCCCUGUUCUCUCCCUAGCGUCUCUUGCUGACUGACUCUAUUCACCUCACGCCGCCGCUUAAACAUUGAUACUGAUUCCCUGCCAGCCAAUCCGCGUGAGGAGCAAGGCCCUGCCUCCUCGGCCCACGCCCAAUAGGAGGCGGAGAAGAGGCUGGCGGGGGCGGGGCCAGGAGCCCCAGUGCUUUAGAGUCAUUGAUUAGAUCAGUUAGAUGGGAAACCAAUGCUGCCAGUCGAGCCAGCUAUACGCUUUAGCGGCGGCGCCCAGGGCCUCGCUGCCGGGUCUCCCGGGUCUUUAACUACCGGGAGAAGCUCCUCCACUCUUUUCCUCCGGAAAAGAGAAAUUUUUUAAAAAAGUUUGAUAUCAAUUUGAUUUUUUUGUUGUUGUUGUUCUGCAUACACUGGAAUGAGAAUCACAGCAUGCUUUCCAGAAUAAGGUAGCUGCGGUCUUCUAAUGGAUUUCUGUACACACACAUACACACAAGCUUUCAUCUCACACACACCCAUGCCAGGGAGAUGCAGAUUUCCUGACUCCAGGUGGACCCAUCAGAAUGAGGUGCGGAGGGGUGUGUGUGUGUGUGUGUGUGUGUGUGUGUGUGUGUGUGUGAAUGUGUUUCUGACGGGCUCGACACGUAUUUCAGUGAGUGUAUGUGUGAAUUCGAGGGUGCUCUCGAGCCAGCUUCUGCCGGCGCUGGAGCAAACACGCCCAGAGCAACAGCAAUCAAUGUGUAACUUUUUUCAUCCUUAGAGAAAAAUCAGCUGUCCCCAGGCUCCCAUGCAAGUAAAGUCCCUUGAUUAUGAAAGUGUUUCAGAAGAAAAGCAGACGCCAGUUGAAAGAGGCCGUGUGUCCUUAGAGGAAAACAAUCUCUCUUCUGAGGAGAAAGUCUCUGUCUAAACAAGCAUUCUAGCUUAUUAAAACUAAAACCUGGCUAAAUAAUACUUGGAGUUAUCCUCCUUCCAUCUCAAGGUUCAAGGCAAUUAAAUGCCCCCACAGCACAUAAUAGUUCUAGUGUUUUGUCCAUCUCCAUCCUUGUUUUUUAAAGUUCCACAAGGCAAUUGAAUUUUAUCUUUUUAAUUCCAAGUAACCAUUGAUAACAACAUUUGCCAUGCCAAAGUCCUAUGCAUAGAAGCUAAAUUGUAAAAACAUGAAGGUAGAUCCAGUCAAUCUUUUAAGACUUCUGUUUUAUAAGUCCUCUCUCUCUCUCUCUCUCUCUCUCUGACACACACACACACACACUCCAAAUUCUUCCCCAAUUUUAGAAUCUCAAAGGUUCUUUUCUCCUAAAAGAUUAUCAAAAACAACCACAAGUGAAGACUGGAUUGCUCCUGAUCCAUUCUGGGAAAGAGUUUAGGCAAAAAAGAAAAUUGAAGUAUUGAAAUAGAAAAGGUGAGUGUUUUGAUUGCUAGAGUAUUGAUUGCAAUUCAUAAAUACUGAAGUUAAGUUGCCAUUUAUAAAUUGUGAAUGACUAACAUACAGAUCUGUAACAUGAAUCAUUCAGGAUUCAAAGAAAAUCAAAUCCAGACCAAUUACUAUAAAGUUCUGAAGAUUUUUGUUGGGAUAAUUGCUUAAAGAUUCAGGUGAAGGAGCUAUUUAUUUCCCCGAGGCUUCAAUGAGAUAACUUAUAGUCAGAAUGUGCAGUCUGAUUUGUAUCCAAAUUUACCACUCCUAUAGGAAACUCUAACAGUUUAAAAAGUCAAAGAUAGACUUUCAAAUCCUAAAAUGUCUUUGCAUUUUCAAAAUAGACAGUUUUUCAGAUAUUUACUGUUGAUGAAUAGAGUCAUAGAAGCUCCUAGAAAUUUUUGGUUCUUUGAGUGGGUGCUUAAGCACACUGACAAGUGAAACUAUAGCUUUGUAUCUCUUUGGGAUUAUUACCUCUGUUUAACUCAUGUACUUUGGAAGUUGAGUCUUUGAGUCUUCAAAAGCAGCAGCUAACAAAUAAAAACUAAUGAUUACACAUUCAUUUAUUAAUAACUACUUUUUAUAUGACAAAUGUAAAGUGUUUUGCAUUACAUACUAAUUCAGGGAAAGUCAUAAAAUAUCCUUACUUAAAAAUUUACCAUCAUGCAAAAAUUAAAGAAAAAAAAUAAUUCCAAGAAAAGGUAUUAUUUUUUUUAAAAAAACUGUUUUUAUGAGUGUAUUAUAGUAAUACAUAAUGGAGUUCAUUUUUCAUAUUCAUAAAUGAUUACAUAGUUUGUUCCACUUAUUAUGGUUUAUUGAUUAGCCUUAAUUGGAUGUGAUUUUGUGCAGCUGGGGAAUACUAGAAAUACAAUGUCUAAAAAGAGAGCCAGUGAUUUGAAAAUGUAUCCUUAAAGACAAAAAUUUGCUGAAAACCCCUCCAGAGUAAUUAUGUCACACCUCCCCCUAGUGUAUGGAAAAAGAACCACCACACUAACAGUGAAUACCACAGGGCAUCUGCCAAAGGAGAGCAAAAGAGAUAUAUAGCAAAUAUAUUUUACUUAUGUUGAAGCAUUGGAUUUUGUUGUUGAAAACUGUUAUGUACCCAAAGUAAUUAAUUUUUAUCUUUAUGUUCCACACUUAUUUUAUUUUUAAAGGAAAUGAAAUCAACUGAUAUCUUACUUCCAAUUUUCCAAUUACUUGCUUGUCUUUAAACAGUUAUGAUAAUCAUGAUUAAUUUUUAAUCAUCUUUUUUCUAUAUGCUAUAUUUUUCCACAGAUAGAUUUUAUGUCUACAAAUAGUAAUUUGAGAUGGUGUUUUAAACUAUGCUUAAAAUAUUAAACUCAAAUGAAAAAAAAAAAGAUGAUAUACAUAUAUCAUCAGAAAUAUUCUUGAUUUUGAUAGCAUAGAUUGAUUUCUGUACUGUGGAAGACUAGACCUGUGGUAUAGAGUUCAGGAAUCUAGAGGAUCAUAGUGUUGUGCCCAUGUUAUAACAUUCUUCUGUAAUUUAUCCUGCUUUCUGUUAUCUUGAAUUCAAUAAAAUACGGCUCUUAGGAGACA
Ictidomys tridecemlineatus (thirteen-lined ground squirrel) is the source of this 4100-nucleotide long non-coding RNA. RefSeq lists it as uncharacterized. Lineage: Eukaryota; Metazoa; Chordata; Mammalia; Rodentia; Sciuridae. The record is from RefSeq and is a predicted model, not a curated record.